CCCUUAGAUGUCCUGGGCCGCACGCGCGUUACACUGAUGCAUUCAACGAGCUUAUAACCUUGGCCGAGAGGCCUGGGCAAUCUUGUUAACGUGCAUCGUGAUAGGGAUAGAUUAUUGAAAUUAUUAAUCUUGAACGAGGAAUUCCUAGUAAACGCAGAUCAUCAAUCUGCAUUGAUUACGUCCCUGCCCUUUGUACACACCGCCCGUCGCACCUACCGAUUGGAUGGUCCGGUGAAGCCUCGGGAUUGUGGUUCUUGCCGCUUUAUUGUGGCGUGACCGCGAGAACUUGUCUAAACCUUAUCAUUUAGAGGAAGGUGAANUCGUANCA
This 328-nucleotide ribosomal RNA is filed under the name uncultured eukaryote. Its description in RNAcentral is "partial 18S ribosomal RNA". It matches the Rfam family "Eukaryotic small subunit ribosomal RNA", at positions 1470 to 1796 of the family's 1831-position model. The record is from RNAcentral.